GGGGGGGGCAAGCGUUGUUCGGAAUUACUGGGCGUAAAGGGCGCGCAGGCGGGCGGGAAAGUCUCUCGUGAAAGCCCACGGCUCAACCGUGGAAUUGCGGGAGAUACUACUCGUCUUGAGUCCGGGAGAGGAGUGUGGAAUUCCCAGUGUAGCGGUGAAAUGCGUAGAUAUUGGGAGGAACACCGGUGGCGAAGGCGGCACUCUGGACCGGUACUGACGCUGAGGCGCGAAAGCUAGGGGAGCAAACGGGAUUAGAUACCCCGGGUAGUCCUGGCUGUAAACGCUGAGCACUUGGUGUAGCGGGUAUCGACCCCCCCUGCUGUGCCGAAGCUAACGCAUUAAGUGCUCCGCCUGGGGGAGUACGGUCGCAAGGCUG
RNAcentral lists this ribosomal RNA (376 nucleotides) under uncultured organism. RNAcentral's name for it is "partial 16S ribosomal RNA". It matches the Rfam family "Bacterial small subunit ribosomal RNA", at positions 527 to 896 of the family's 1533-position model. The record is from RNAcentral.